Molecule: unclassified non-coding RNA, 240 nt
Filed under: soil metagenome
Description: partial contains 5.8S ribosomal RNA, internal transcribed spacer 2, and large subunit ribosomal RNA
Source: RNAcentral
AAGACUAUAGACCUGCGGAGUACCUGCGGAAGGAUCAUUACCGAGUUUACAAAACUCCCAAACCCUUUGUGAACCUUACCUAUCGUUGCUUCGGCGGGACCGCCCCGGCGCCCUCGCGGCCCGGAACCAGGCGCCCGCCGGAGGCCCCAAACCCUCAUGUCUUUAGUGGUUUCCUCCUCUGAGUGACAUAAACAAAUAAAGUAAAAACUUUCAACAACGGAUCUCUAGAUCGGAAGAGCA